This 529-nucleotide ribosomal RNA is filed under the name Clostridioides difficile. Its description in RNAcentral is "partial 23S ribosomal RNA". It matches the Rfam family "Bacterial large subunit ribosomal RNA", at positions 683 to 1212 of the family's 2925-position model. Lineage: Bacteria; Bacillati; Bacillota; Clostridia; Peptostreptococcales; Peptostreptococcaceae. The record is from RNAcentral.
UUUAACUGAGCGUUCAGUUACUUGACGUAGACCCGAAACCGGGCGACCUACCCAUGAGCAGGAUGAAGCGAAAGUAAAAUUUCGUGGAGGUCCGAACCCACGAGCGUUGAAAAGCUCGGGGAUGACUUGUGGGUAGCGGUGAAAUUCCAAUCGAGCCCGGAGAUAGCUGGUUCUCCCCGAAAUAGCUUUAGGGCUAGCCUCAAGGUGAGAGAUACGGAGGUAGAGCACUGAAUGUCCUAGGGGGUAUUGCACCUACCGAAGACUAUCAAACUCCGAAUGCCGUCAUCUUAUACUUGGGAGUCAGACUGUGGGUGAUAAGAUUCAUAGUCGAAAGGGCAACAGCCCAGAUCGUCAGCUAAGGUCCCUAAAUGUAAGUUAAGUGGUAAAGGAUGUGGGAUUGCACAGACAACCAGGAUGUUGGCUUAGAAGCAGCCACUCAUUCAAAGAGUGCGUAAUAGCUCACUGGUCGAGUGAUCCUGCGCCGAAGAUUUCCGGGGCUAAAACUUACUACCGAAGCUACGGCAUCAGU